Molecule: ribosomal RNA, 459 nt
Filed under: uncultured bacterium
Lineage: Bacteria
Description: partial 16S ribosomal RNA
Rfam family: Bacterial small subunit ribosomal RNA
Source: RNAcentral
CCUACGGGCGGCAGCAGUGAGGAAUAUUGGUCAAUGGGCGCGAGCCUGAACCAGCCAAGUCGCGUGAGGGAAGACGGUCCUAUGGAUUGUAAACCUCUUUUGUCGGGGAGCAAAAGACGCCACGCGUGGCGUUCCGAGAGUACCCGAAGAAAAAGCAUCGGCUAACUCCGUGCCAGCAGCCGCGGUAAUACGGAGGAUGCGAGCGUUAUCCGGAUUUAUUGGGUUUAAAGGGUGCGCAGGGGGAAGAUCAAGUCAGCGGGAAAAUUGAGAGGCUCAACCUCUUCGAGCCGUUGAAACUGGUUUUCUUGAGUGAGCGAGAGGUAUGCGGAAUGCGUGGUGUAGCGGUGAAAUGCAUAGAUAUCACGCAGAACUCCGAUUGCGAAGGCAGCAUACCGGCGCUCAACUGACGCUCAUGCACGAAAGUGUGGGUAUCGAACAGGAUUAGAUACCCGUGUAGUC